Non-coding RNA from Pantherophis guttatus, 516 nucleotides. Lineage: Eukaryota; Metazoa; Chordata; Lepidosauria; Squamata; Colubridae. The record is from RefSeq and is a predicted model, not a curated record.
AAUUAGCUUAUUUAGCAUAUUGAUGCAAUGAAUGCAGGAGGCAGGAUUUGCGCGGCCACUGCCUCGUUACUGAGUUGUUAGAUGGUACUUUUCUCCGGUACGAGGCGUGACAGUAGAAUGUAUGCACCGGUCCUCAACGCGCUGCUCAAAUUCAGCCCUAAACUUUUAGCAUGAAAAUAAGAGCUAUCCUAUCUCAUGGUUGUCUUCUCUCCUGCUGGUCAGAAAAGUUCCUUCGGAUCAAGCGAGGGGACUACCAUCUCCUCACAAUCGAUGAAGGGUCCUUACUUUCUUUGUGACCCCUCCAGGGUGACUUUGGCCCCGGAGGACCUCCUGGCAGAUAAGAAUCAGCUGGAUUUCACGGAGCCCCGCUAGUCCAACACCGUCUCGGUGUGACGUCAACCGGAAGUCCGGAAAACUUUCUGUUUUAAUUAAGUGAAAACCACAGGAACCUUCAAAGUCGGUUUUCACCAGAUCUGUGCCAAUAUGAUAUUUCCAAUAAAGCUAUUCUUUGAGGAA